RNAcentral lists this ribosomal RNA (307 nucleotides) under uncultured bacterium. RNAcentral's name for it is "partial 16S ribosomal RNA". It matches the Rfam family "Bacterial small subunit ribosomal RNA", at positions 506 to 809 of the family's 1533-position model. The record is from RNAcentral.
AGACAGCAGCCGCCGCGGUAAUACAGAGGGUGCGAGCGUUAAUCGGAUUUACUGGGCGUAAAGCGUGCGUAGGCGGCUUUUUAAGUCGGAUGUGAAAUCCCUGAGCUUAACUUAGGAAUUGCAUUCGAUACUGGGAAGCUAGAGUAUGGGAGAGGAUGGUAGAAUUCCAGGUGUAGCGGUGAAAUGCGUAGAGAUCUGGAGGAAUACCGAUGGCGAAGGCAGCCAUCUGGCCUAAUACUGACGCUGAGGUACGAAAGCAUGGGGAGCAAACAGGAUUAGAUACCCCAGUAGUCCCUGUCUCUUAUAA